AUUGAUAUAUGAAAAUAAAUUUCAUACAUUUUGCAUAAUAUAAGGCGGUAUUAUUACAUAUAUACCGAAAAUACAUAUUCAAAGAAACGAAAAACAUAUUGCUAACAUUUGGCGAAUGUGAUAACGAUUUUCUAACAUUUUGAAAAAUGCCUGGCGGUUUUACCGAAAAUACAUAUUCAAAGAAACAGAAAUAUAUUGCUAACAUUUUGCAAACGUGAUAACGAAUUUCGAACAUUUUGCAAAAUGUCAGACGGUGUUACCGAAAAUACAUAAUAUUUAAAGCGGAAAACAUAUUUCUAAUAUUUAGCAGAAUGAACCAUGUGAAAACAAAUUUCAUAUAUUUUGCAUUAUAUAAGGCGGUAUUACCAAAAAUAUAUAUUCAAAGAAACGGAAAACAUAUAUUGCUAACAUUUGGCGAAUGUAAUAACGAUUUUCUAACAUUUUGAAAAAUGUCUAGCGGUUUUACCGAAAAUACUUAU
Long non-coding RNA from Vollenhovia emeryi, 479 nucleotides. RefSeq lists it as uncharacterized. NCBI's taxonomy places the organism in Eukaryota, Metazoa, Arthropoda, Insecta, Hymenoptera, Formicidae. The record is from RefSeq and is a predicted model, not a curated record. The transcript is spliced from 2 exons.